CACAGAGAGCUUGCUCUUGGGUGACGAGUGGCGGACGGGUGAGUAAUGUCUGGGAAACUGCCCGAUGGAGGGGGAUAACUACUGGAAACGGUAGCUAAUACCGCAUAACGUCGCAAGACCAAAGUGGGGGACCUUCGGGCCUCACACCAUCGGAUGUGCCCAGAUGGGAUUAGCUAGUUGGUGAGGUAAUGGCUCACCAAGGCGACGAUCCCUAGCUGGUCUGAGAGGAUGACCAGCCACACUGGAACUGAGACACGGUCCAGACUCCUACGGGAGGCAGCAGUGGGGAAUAUUGCACAAUGGGCGCAAGCCUGAUGCAGCCAUGCCGCGUGUAUGAAGAAGGCCUUCGGGUUGUAAAGUACUUUCAGCGAGGAGGAAGGUGUUGUGGUUAAUAACCGCAGCAAUUGACGUUACUCGCAGAAGAAGCACCGGCUAACUCCGUGCCAGCAGCCGCGGUAAUACGGAGGGUGCAAGCGUUAAUCGGAAUUACUGGGCGUAAAGCGCACGCAGGCGGUCUGUCAAGUCGGAUGUGAAAUCCCCGGGCUCAACCUGGGAACUGCAUUCGAAACUGGCAGGCUAGAGUCUUGUAGAGGGGGGUAGAAUUCCAGGUGUAGCGGUGAAAUGCGUAGAGAUCUGGAGGAAUACCGGUGGCGAAGGCGGCCCCCUGGACAAAGACUGACGCUCAGGUGCGAAAGCGUGGGGAGCAAACAGGAUUAGAUACCCUGGUAGUCCACGCCGUAAACGAUGUCUAUUUGGAGGUUGUUCCCUUGAGGAGUGGCUUCCGGAGCUAACGCGUUAAAUAGACCGCCUGGGGAGUACGGCCGCAAGGUUAAAACUCAAAUGAAUUGACGGGGGCCCGCACAAGCGGU
This 869-nucleotide ribosomal RNA is filed under the name Kluyvera ascorbata. RNAcentral's name for it is "bacterial SSU rRNA". It matches the Rfam family "Bacterial small subunit ribosomal RNA", at positions 70 to 933 of the family's 1533-position model. Lineage: Bacteria; Pseudomonadati; Pseudomonadota; Gammaproteobacteria; Enterobacterales; Enterobacteriaceae. The record is from RNAcentral.